This is a long non-coding RNA of Carassius gibelio (silver crucian carp), 1628 nucleotides long. RefSeq lists it as uncharacterized. NCBI's taxonomy places the organism in Eukaryota, Metazoa, Chordata, Actinopteri, Cypriniformes, Cyprinidae. The record is from RefSeq and is a predicted model, not a curated record. The transcript has 4 exons.
UUCGAGACUGUCCUCCUCUUAAAAACGACCACAUAGGUCGUUUGUGCAAGCAGCAUAUUACGACCUAUUAUUACGUUUUAAAAUCAAGCGCCCUCUAGCGGCCGUAUUACGACAGUCUCGUUUGUCGGGUGUGUCGUCAUCAAAUGACCUUUGACUGUCGUUACCAUCGUUACCACCCAAAAAAAGGAGGCGUGACCCAACAUCUUACCAUGCGUUGUUGUCCAGGUUUGUAAACAAUUUUAUUUUAUGGUUUAUUUUUUAAGGUACUGUUCUGAUUGUCUGCAAUUAAUGUCAAAUUUUGCAGUUUCUUCAUAUCACAUACAUCUCCAGCUCCUACAACAACAUUCAGUGUCCAGCAGCUCUUUAUGAUGCUCUCUCUCUCUCUCUCUCUCUCUCUCUCUCUCUCUCUCUCUCUCUCUCUCUCUCUCUCUUUCUCUCUCACUCUCUCUCUCUCUCUCUCUCUCAUUUUCGUUUCCUAUUUUUCUGAACUGUAAUUCAUAAAUAAGUCACACAUAUUUUUCUUUCUUUCUCUUGUUCAUCAUGGCAUAUUUUCACAGCUCAGAAUCAGAUUUUGAUCAGUUCUUGUAUUAACAGGGAACUUGUACUCGAAGCUCAACUUGAAGAAGUUUCCAGUGAAGAUGAAGUCCUUCAAAGGUUCGACACAGCUGAAAAGGAAGACCAUGGGCCUGUCAAACCUUGUUUGUGGAGAGGGAUGAAUUUGACCAUCUUGUGUGUUUACGGAGAAGACCAAAAGCUGCUAAGGCAGAUAUUUCCAGAGGAUUUCUGACAGAUUACUGAGUCCUUCUCCAUCAGCUCUCCACAAUAGCAGCCCUUCCAAAAGCAUCCACAUCACUCUCUCUUGUGUGGCACAUCUGCUCUCAGUCGUUAGCAUGUCUACUUGUAUUAUUUCUCCUCUAGUCAACACUCCCAUCUCUACUGUGAACACUCCUGUCACUAUCACCAUCCCACCUACUGUAUUCUAUAUGCCAUAUAUAUAUAUAUAUAUAUAUAUAUAUGUGUGUGUGUGUGUGUGUGUGUGUGUGUGUGUGUGACCUUUAAGGUCAUUUAAUGAUAGAAAUGCAUUUUCCAGCUGAAAAUGAUUUAUAAAGUAUAAUUAUUAAUAACCGUUUUAGUUUGUCUUGCAUAUGUUCACAACAGAAGCGAUCAGUGAUUACAGGAGAUUAAGAGGUAAUCAUGUGAAAUAUUAGUCUUAACAAUAUUUUUCUAAUUAGUUAAUCACUUUUAAAUGAAAGAAAAGAAUAUGAUUUCAGCUGGUGCCUUGCAACUCCUGGUUUGUAAAAAUAUUAUUUGGCAUUUUAUAAACUUCUCUGCAAACAAAUUGACAAUUUUUAUUUAUUUAUUCAUUUUUUUUAUUUUAUAUAUAUAUUUUUAUAUUAGCCAAUUUAGUUUUAAAGGGAUUUUCUAUUACAUAAUUCUGUCUGUACCUAUUAGUUACUUUAUCAAUCAGUAAUUUUUAAAAGUUGUUAUAUUUCACAAUAAUAUAUUAUUUUUUUGUUUUUAUUUCUUCAUAGUGACAAACUAGAGAGAAAGAAUGGUGUUAUUUGCAUUGUUUGUCUGAAAAGUUUGACAUAUCAAUAAACACUGAUAUGGAAAUUACUAAAAAAAAA